CAGGCCAAUGCAACCGGCAAUCGCAGGAGUAGAUAGAUGCGCCGUUUGGGAUUGUGCACUUGGUACGCCGUACGUAUGUGUACGUACGUGCGUGAGCCCGCGGAUCGAUCCAGCACCGGGACCAAAAUCUACGCACAUGUAUGGCACAUGCACUCGCGCACGAGAGGAACACGGCCGGACGAACUCGCGAGAUGAGUAAUUCCCUCCAUCCUAAAAAAUCACUACGAGAGUUGUGUCCAUUUAAAUUAAUAGCUGUGCCUCAUAUCUGCGCCAACACAAAACCCAGCGAUCAAGCAAGAACGCAAGCGCGAUUGCGGCGACCCAUGCGAGGAAAAUAAUCCUCAGGAUUCAUGGAUAUGAAGGACAUGCAUGCUUGGCACAAGCUAAUUAAGAGGGGUACGGUGUGUAUUUGUGUAGUUGCUUGGUGUACUAGUAUUAUCUCAGCACCACAGAUUAGUACGUGAAACAAUUGGGCUCCGUUUGGUUCUCCUUGCUAAAUUUUAGCUAGCUAAAAUUAUUUUAGUUAUUCUUGGGUGACUAAUAGAACUAAACUAUUUUAGCUUCUUCUUUUAGUCAAUAUGUUUAGGACUUUAGCUACUAAAGUAAUAAAAGUUUAGCUAGCUAAAAUUUAGCAAGGAAAACCAACAGAGCUUUGGUGUCGUCCAAGCAAUAGCUUAGUGCCUCAAGUCCAUCAGCACCACUGACGCGCAUCGGGCGGGUGUCGUCCUAGGCAGUCACGUUGCAUGCAGUCACGUUACAUGAAAAUGGAAGGUUGAAAGGUUCUAAUGUCUAGAGAGAACGAAUAGCCUAUAAAAAUUUCUACAAUAAUACCAAGCAAAGUGAUUAGACUAAAACGAGGCAAAAGAAAAUAUUACGCUAGCCUACUAAAAAUGCAAUUUCUUUUCAGUUUUCGUUGUUUGAUUUUAUUUUAUUUUCUGUCCUUUCCUUAUUCUUUUCUUGUUUUAAUUUUACCUUUUAUUUUCUCUUUCUUUUGGUUUUAUUUUUAUUGUUCUUCCUUGCUUCUAUUUGUUUUUUUUUCUUUUUAGGUUUUCUAUGUUUCUUCAUUCUUAUUUUAUAUUUUAUUUCUUUUUAAUCUUCUUUUUAUCCUUAUUUAAAUUAUUCAUUUAUUUUAUUUGCUAUAUGCAUUUUUUAUCAUUUGUUAAUCAUGUUUGUUUUUAUAUUUUUCUUCUUAGUAAUUUUAUUUUAUAUUUUUAUUUUCUAUAUAUAUAUGUGAUAUUUAUGUAGUAUAUAUUUAGUGUUUUAUAUUGUGUUAUGUCAUGUUUACGUAGUAUACAUGUGAUGUUCUAUGAUGUUUCUUAUGGUGGUCACUUUGUAUACAUGUAAUCUAUAAUAGAUGUGAUGUUCUAUAAUAAAUUUAAUGAUAUUUUAUGAUGUAUUUAGUGAUGUUAAUGUUCUAUAAAUAUAUUUACGAUAUUUGAAAAGUAACCCUUUGACAUUAUUUGAAAAUUUUCUCCAUUUUGUGUUUUUAUUUUUUCUUAUGCUUUUUACUCUAUAUUUUAUUAUUAUUUUUAUCUAUGUCAUGUAUUUAUGUAUUUUAUCGAUAACAUUUUUUUACAAAGACAGAAUAUUGUCGGUUGAACCUAGAAUAUUGUCUCUACUUAAUAAAAAAAAUAUUUUAUCUUUAUAAGAUAAAUAUUCAUUAAUAAAAUUUUAUCUAAAUAUAUCUGUGUAGGAUCUUGUUUUGAAGGAUUUGUUAUAAGAAAUUUAAUGGUGCAAUCAGAAUUUAAUUUAUAUCUCUGGUUUAGGAGUUAUGAAUUUUUUUAAUUCGCUAAAACAAUUUUGCAUGCAUAGUUGAGUUAGGUUGAUGAGAUAGCUUAUCAUCGCGUAGUAAAAAAGACCACAGAAGGGAUAAGAGUUGUGGAUGGGUCCUCUCUCCAUAAUUUUUAGUUGUAGAGAUAAAUAUUCAUUAAUAAAAUUUUAUCUAAAUAUAUCCAUGUGUGAUAUUGUUUUGAAGGAUUUGUUAUAAGAAAUUUAGUGGUGCAAUCGAAAUUUAAUUUAUAUCUUCGGUUUAAGAGUUAUUACUUUUUUUUAAUUCGCUAAAACAAUUUUGCAUGCAUGGGUGAGUGAGACCUGGGUUGAUAGGACCUCAUGACAUAGUAAAAGAGACGGGAGUUAUGGCUAUACUAUGUAUAUGGUAGACGGGUUCUUUCUAUAAUUUUUAUAAUUUUUAGUUAUGGAGAUUAGCAAGGAGGAACACGCUAACACUUUACACUGCACGUCGUACGUGUGCAUAGUAUAUCGUAGGGUGAUACUACCUUGGCGACACAGUCGUACUGUGUGUAUACAUACGCAACGCACGUGGCACGUUCGUCGUACGUAAUUAACGUGCGCACGAGCGCGCGCGCCCGCGGUCUCCAGCCGACUGUUUUGAUUGGCGAGCAAAACGCAAACAUCAUUAAUCAAUUGAUUAUUAUCUUUCUCACCGCGACGGCACGCGCGCGGAUGCAUUGCAUUCAUGGUGUGGCCGCGCGCGUUGACACAGCAGAUCGACGAGACAUCGAUGGAUCCAUCAAUCGCGCCCGGCCGGCCGAUCGAAUCCCCCCGAUCGAGAACAGUGAGUUCGCAGGGCCGCCGUACGUACCUGUACGUACGUGUACGUAUAGCAGUAGUAGUCCGUGCACGCGCGCGCGCAUGCGUGUGAUACAACCCUGCUGAUGAUGUGACAUCGUCGACCGACCCGGCCGCGGUGGAUCCGGCGAGCGUGCAGAGAUCUGUUUCGCUUCCAUGCACACCAGUACGUGUACGUACGACGAUCCAGGAGCUAGCGUAACAGCGGACGUCGGAUCGGAUCCCCGGCCGGCACGUACACAAUACAAACUAACGUCGAUCGAUUGAUGAUCAACUAAAGAGUAAAGAGUUACUAUCUACUUCCUCCAUCCCAAAUUGUAAGUUAUUCUAAGAAUCUUGGAGAGUCAAACUUUUGUAAGUUUGAUCAAAUUUAUAUUAUAAAAUAAUAAUUAUUAUGGUACUAACUAAGUAUUAUUAGAUUUUUUUUCUUAGUUAUAUUUUCAUAGUAUACUCAAUUUACGUUACAAAUCUUAGUAUUUUUCUCUAUAACUUUGGU
Molecule: long non-coding RNA, 3085 nt
Filed under: Sorghum bicolor (sorghum)
Lineage: Eukaryota; Viridiplantae; Streptophyta; Magnoliopsida; Poales; Poaceae
Description: long non-coding RNA (SBIC_LNC016924)
Source: RNAcentral